UACCAGCACCCCGAGUGGUCGGGACGUUUAUUGGGCCUAAAGCAUCCGUAGCCGGUUCUUCAAGUCUUCCGUUAAAUCCACCUGCUUAACAGAUGGGCUGCGGAAGAUACUAUAGAGCUAGGAGGCGGGAGAGGCAAGCGGUACUCGAUGGGUAGGGGUAAAAUCCGUUGAUCCAUUGAAGACCACCAGUGGCGAAGGCGGCUUGCCAGAACGCGCUCGACGGUGAGGGAUGAAAGCUGGGGGAGCAAACCGG
RNAcentral lists this ribosomal RNA (253 nucleotides) under uncultured bacterium. RNAcentral's name for it is "partial 16S ribosomal RNA". It matches the Rfam family "Archaeal small subunit ribosomal RNA", at positions 474 to 727 of the family's 1478-position model. The record is from RNAcentral.